GGGGGCGUGGUGUAGUGGUUAACACGCCGGCCUGUCAAGCCGGAGAUCGCGGGUUCGAUCCCCGUCGCUCCCGCCA
This 76-nucleotide transfer RNA is filed under the name Chloroflexota bacterium. RNAcentral describes it as "Chloroflexi bacterium tRNA-Asp". It matches the Rfam family "tRNA". From Rfam's summary of the family: Transfer RNA (tRNA) molecules are approximately 80 nucleotides in length. Their secondary structure includes four short double-helical elements and three loops (D, anti-codon, and T loops). Further hydrogen bonds mediate the characteristic L-shaped molecular structure. tRNAs have two regions of fundamental functional importance: the anti-codon, which is responsible for specific mRNA codon recognition, and the 3' end, to which the tRNAs corresponding amino acid is attached (by aminoacyl-tRNA synthetases). tRNAs cope with the degeneracy of the genetic code in two manners: having more than one tRNA (with a specific anti-codon) for a particular amino acid; and 'wobble' base-pairing, i.e. permitting non-standard base-pairing at the 3rd anti-codon position. Lineage: Bacteria; Bacillati; Chloroflexota. RNAcentral also lists the same sequence under 3 other names. The record is from RNAcentral.